AUUAGCCAUGCAUGUCUCAGUACAUGCCGAAUUAAGGUGAAACCGCGAAUGGCUCAUUAAAUCAGUUAUGGUUCAUUAGAUCGUGGACACAUUUACUUGGAUAACUGUGGUAAUUCUAGAGCUAAUACAUGCAAACAGAAUUCCUCUCAGAGAUGGGAGGAAUGCUUUUAUUAGAUCAAAACCAAUCGGUGGCGGACGGCUCGUCCGUUCGUCCAUCGUUUGUUUUGGUGACUCUGAAUAACUUUGUGCUGAUCGCAUGGUCAUCUAGCACCGGCGACGCAUCUUUCAAAUGUCUGCCUUAUCAACUGUCGAUGGUAGGUUCUGCGCCUACCAUGGUUGUAACGGGUAACGGGGAAUCAGGGUUCGAUUCCGGAGAGGGAGCCUGAGAAACAGCUACCACAUCCAAGGAAGGCAGCAGGCGCGCAAAUUACCCACUCCCGGCACGGGGAGGUAGUGACGAAAAAUAACGAUACGGGACUCAUCCGAGGCCCCGUAAUCGGAAUGAGUACACUUUAAAUCCUUUAACGAGGACCAAUUGGAGGGCAAGUCUGGUGCCAGCAGCCGCGGUAAUUCCAGCUCCAAUAGCGUAUAUUAAAGUUGUUGCGGUUAAAAAGCUCGUAGUUGAAUCUGUGUGUCACAGUGUCGGUUCACCGCUCGCGGUGUUUAACUGGCAUUAUGUGGUACGUCCUAUCGGUGGGCUUAGCUCCUUGCGGGCGGUCCAACUAAUAUCCCAUCGCGGUGCUCUUCACUGAGUGUCGAGGUGGGCCGAUACGUUUACUUUGAAAAAAUUAGAGUGCUUAAAGCAGGCUACCUUUGCCUGAAUACUGUGUGCAUGGAAUAAUGGAAUAGGACCUCGGUUCUAUUUUGUUGGUUUUCGGAACCCCGAGGUAAUGAUUAAUAGGGACAGAUGGGGGCAUUCGUAUUGCGACGUUAGAGGUGAAAUUCUUGGGAUCGUCGCAAGACGGACAGAAGCGAAAGCAUUUGCCAAAAAUGUUUUCAUUAAUCAAGAACGAAAGUUAGAGGUUU
This 1026-nucleotide ribosomal RNA is filed under the name Apis mellifera (honey bee). RNAcentral's name for it is "SSU rRNA". It matches the Rfam family "Eukaryotic small subunit ribosomal RNA", at positions 44 to 999 of the family's 1831-position model. The record is from RNAcentral. Lineage: Eukaryota; Metazoa; Arthropoda; Insecta; Hymenoptera; Apidae.